CAACUUUAUUGUUGUUUGAAUGUGGACUUGGAUGUUGCCGUUUUAUCACGGCUCGUCYUAAAUGCCUGAGUGUACCCUGUUUUGCAGCGUAUCCAGUGUAAUAAACAUUUCACUAGAGUUGGUCGAAAGACCGCGUUGACUAUAUGGGCUCUAUGCUUCAAACCGUCURCYMUGUGGACAAUUUCUUGACAAUUUGACCUCAAAUCGGGUGGGACUACCCGCUGAACUUAAGCAUAUCAAUAAGCGGAGGAAAAGAAACUAACAAGGAUUCCCCUAGUAACGGCGAGUGAAGAGGGAAAAGCUCAAAUUUUGAAUCUGGUGUCUUUGACUCCCGAGUUGUAAUCUAGAGAAGUGUUUUCCGUGUCGGACCGUGUACAAGUUCCCUGGAACGGGGCGUCAUAGAGGGUGAGAAUCCCGUAUAUGCCACGGACUACCGAUGCUCUGUGAUACACUCUCAACGAGUCGAGUUGUUUGGGAAUGCAGCUCAAAAUGGGUGGUAAAUUCCAUCUAAAGCUAAAUAUUGGCGAGAGACCGAUAGCGAACAAGUACCGUGAGGGAAAGAUGAAAAGCACUUUGGAAAGAGAGUGAAACAGUACGUGAAAUUGUUGAAAGGGAAGCGUUUGAAGUCAGUCGCAUCUGUUGGGGUUCAGCCUGGCUUUUGCCUGGUGUAUUUCCUUUCCGAUGGGUCAGCAUCAGUUUCGACCGAGGGAAAAAGACAUUUGGAAUGUGGCUGUCUUCGGGCAGUGUUAUAGCCUUGUGUUGUAUGUCUCGGUUGGGACUGAGGAUUGCAGCGCGCCAUAAAUGGCCGGGGGUCGCUCCUCUCGACACGCGCUUAGGAUGCUGGCAUAAUGGCUUUAAGCGACC
Molecule: ribosomal RNA, 864 nt
Filed under: uncultured Sebacinales
Lineage: Eukaryota; Fungi; Basidiomycota; Agaricomycetes; Sebacinales
Description: eukaryotic LSU rRNA
Source: RNAcentral